UACGUAGGGGGCGAGCGUUGUCCGGAAUUACUGGGCGUAAAGGGCGUGUAGGCGGCCUUUUAAGUCAGAUGUGAAAUCUCAGGGCUUAACCCUGAAACUGCAUUUGAAACUGGAGGGCUUGAGGAUCGGAGAGGGCAGUGGAAUUCCCAGUGUAGCGGUGAAAUGCGUAGAUAUUGGGAGGAACACCAGUGGCGAAGGCGACUGCCUGGACGACACCUGACGCUGAGGCGCGAAAGCUAGGGUAGCGAACGGGAUUAGAUACCCGUGUAGUCCCU
RNAcentral lists this ribosomal RNA (275 nucleotides) under uncultured prokaryote. RNAcentral describes it as "partial 16S ribosomal RNA". It matches the Rfam family "Bacterial small subunit ribosomal RNA", at positions 524 to 798 of the family's 1533-position model. The record is from RNAcentral.